GUAGUCCACGCCCUAAACGAUGAGUACUAGUUAUCGGAAUACCUAAUUGUUUCGGUGACGUAGCUAACGCGUUAAGUACUCCGCCUGGGAAUUACGGUCGCAAGAUUAAAACUCAAAGGAAUUGACGGGGGCCCGCACAAGCGGUGGAGCAUGUGGUUUAAUUCGAUGCUACGCGAAAAACCUUACCUAGGCUUGACAUCCCGUGCUACCCAGUGAAAGCUGGGGUUCCCUUCGGGGACGCGGUGACAGGUGCUGCAUGGCUGUCGUCAGCUCGUGUUGUGAGAUGUUGGGUUAAGUCCCGCAACGAGCGCAACCCUCGCCUUUAGUUACCAUCAUUAAGUUGGGAACUCUAAAGGGACCGCUUGGCUAUAAGCCAGA
Molecule: ribosomal RNA, 378 nt
Filed under: uncultured bacterium
Lineage: Bacteria
Description: bacterial SSU rRNA
Rfam family: Bacterial small subunit ribosomal RNA
Source: RNAcentral